GGGGGCGCCUUGGAUUCGACAGGUUUGCUUGGUGAUAGGAAGAGCAUGUUCGGGGUGGAAACGCAACCCGGUUAUAAAAGCGUUUUAAUUUUUAAUUGGCACAGAGCAAUACGCUCUUGCAGCUUAGAGUUUAAGCUGUCGUCGCUUGAAGGGGUGUCGGUACUUUUCCUGUGGCGUCAUUUUAUCGACUGGUUGUUUUUUCUUCCACCUGUAGAGAAAACCACAAGAUUAAUCAGGUUACAAUUAUUUAAGCCUGUUCGUAGGCGUAAAUAGCAAGAGAAAUAUAUACGAUACUAAGCAUGUAGCUGCUUUCGUUGUCUCAGAUUUGGACGCGGGUUCGAUUCCCGCCGCCUCCACCA
This is a non-coding RNA of Candidatus Thiomargarita nelsonii, 359 nucleotides long. Lineage: Bacteria; Pseudomonadati; Pseudomonadota; Gammaproteobacteria; Thiotrichales; Thiotrichaceae. The record is from Rfam.